This 414-nucleotide ribosomal RNA is filed under the name uncultured bacterium. RNAcentral's name for it is "bacterial SSU rRNA". It matches the Rfam family "Bacterial small subunit ribosomal RNA", at positions 355 to 786 of the family's 1533-position model. The record is from RNAcentral.
UGGGGGAUAUUGCGCAAUGGGGGGAACCCUGACGCAGCAACGCCGCGUGAAGGAAGAAGGUUUUCGGAUCGUAAACUUCUUUAAGUGGGGAAGAUAGUGACGGUACCCACAGAAUAAGCCACGGCUAACUACGUGCCAGCAGCCGCGGUAAUACGUAGGUGGCAAGCGUUGUCCGGAUUUACUGGGUGUAAAGGGCGUGUAGGCGGGAUGGUAAGUCAGAUGUGAAAUACCGGGGCUCAACUCCGGGGCUGCAUUUGAAACUGCCGUUCUUGAGUGUCGGAGAGGAAAGCGGAAUUCCUAGUGUAGCGGUGAAAUGCGUAGAUAUUAGGAGGAACACCAGUGGCGAAGGCGGCUUUCUGGACGAUAACUGACGCUGAGGCGCGAAAGCGUGGGGAGCAAACAGGAUUAGAUACC